UUGAAUUUUUUCACAAGACUUCGUCGGUUGUGCAUCCAACAACCUUUGAAAUUUUGGUUGAAAUCCGGUUCCGGGUCUGAAUCUCCUACCUUUUUGUAGACCACAUUAAGGUUAUUUGGUUUUGCCAAAUUUGCAAUCUGCUCAUCUUCAAAAUUCAAUGGUAGCUUGUUGUUGAAUGAUGAUCCGAGUAUUCUCCAUCAGCAUUAGAUAUCUUACAUUGGUAAUCCAUUUUUGGUAUUUGGUUUAAUGUUACAUUAUUUACCUUUUCAUCUUCCUGCCCGUCACGCUAAACAUUGUUGACGGAGAAAAUACUGCGGACAACAUUUAGGUCUCGUACGACAGAAACAUUCACGUCUUCUUACUACCGUCAGAUUACCUACCUUGUCUUCCUGUGCGUAAUGGAGAAGAGUCACUGGUCUCAAAAAUAUUGAAACUGUUUUAAUAUCAUUUAUUCUUAUCUGUAACUUUUAUAGUCUGCACGCAUGACUGAUGCACUGGUUUCGAGGUUGUGGGCAAGUGAAAGAGGAUCGCAAAAAAAAUCGCCAUCUCUACUACAGGCAUUUUUGUAUACAUUUAUUUUGUUUUUUUUUGCCAUUGACCAGCCCCAAAGCAUGUUAUAUUAGUAAAUCUCAAAUGAUGGAGUGCCAACAAGAAUUAAAAUGCCUAAUACGCGGGUUUGAUGGCUAUUGCCAUGAAGACUGCCGAAGCUGGCCAUCUUACGGAAACCUAGAAAUGGCGUGACUUCCACAUCAAACAUGUAUUAGAAUUUUAGUGGAGGAGUUUUUUGUUAAACAUGCUCCGCCUACACAAAAAUGUUCUGUUCAGAGCCUCAUACUAUGGUUUUCAUUUCCAAUUUGUAUGUUCUUUCGCAAGCGUGUGCCAGAAGUUUUAUAUGGGUGCCAAACAGUGUACCUAUGAGUCAUGUAAGUCAUAUGAGCAAGAAUUUUUGUGCUUAACGGUUUUUUUUUCUGUUCUUAAAAUAGGUUAAUAGUAACACUGGAUCUGAAAAGGGUCUUGAAUGAGGCGAGACACUGAAUAAAUUGUGAUGACUAACGUA
Molecule: long non-coding RNA, 1057 nt
Organism: Daphnia carinata
Lineage: Eukaryota; Metazoa; Arthropoda; Branchiopoda; Diplostraca; Daphniidae
Exons: 3
Source: RefSeq, a predicted model, not a curated record